GCUGUAGCUCAGGGGCAGAGCAUCUUGCUUUCGCACGCACAAGCCCCCAGGAUCAAUCCCUGGCAUCUCCA
Non-coding RNA from Podarcis lilfordi (Lilford's wall lizard), 71 nucleotides. The record is from the annotation of a GenBank genome assembly. Lineage: Eukaryota; Metazoa; Chordata; Lepidosauria; Squamata; Lacertidae.